GUGUCAGCAGCCGCGGUAAUACGAAGGUGGCAAGCGUUGUUCGGAUUUACUGGGCGUAAAGGGAGCGUAGGCGGUUUGGUAAGCCCUCCGGGAAAUCUCCCGGCUUAACCGGGAAAGGUCGGAGGGGACUGCCAGGCUUGAGGACGGGAGAGGAGCGCGGAAUUCCCGGUGUAGCGGUGAAAUGCGUAGAGAUCGGGAGGAAGGCCGGUGGCGAAGGCGGCGCUCUGGAACGUUCCUGACGCUGAGGCUCGAAAGCGUGGGGAGCAAACAGGAUUAGAUACCCUGGUAGUCCACGCCCUAAACGAUGGACACUAAGUGUCGGCGGGUUACCGCCGGUGCCGCAGCUAACGCAUUAAGUGUCCCGCCUGGGGAGUACGGCCGCAAGGUUGAA
This 391-nucleotide ribosomal RNA is filed under the name uncultured bacterium. Its description in RNAcentral is "bacterial SSU rRNA". It matches the Rfam family "Bacterial small subunit ribosomal RNA", at positions 505 to 898 of the family's 1533-position model. The record is from RNAcentral.